This is a long non-coding RNA of Drosophila sulfurigaster albostrigata, 1724 nucleotides long. RefSeq lists it as uncharacterized. NCBI's taxonomy places the organism in Eukaryota, Metazoa, Arthropoda, Insecta, Diptera, Drosophilidae. The transcript is spliced from 3 exons. The record is from RefSeq and is a predicted model, not a curated record.
AACACUGGGUGCAGUGGAUGUGUCGUGAUCAAAAAUGCAGAAGUUGAGCGUGUUUUUAGCCAAGCUAAUUUAGUAAAAACCAAAUUGCGCAACCGACUGCAAAUAGAAACUUUAAAUGCGAUUUUAUCGAUCAGGUUUGGGCUACGCCGAAAAGGCGUAUGUUGCCAUGAAUAUGAAAUUCCUGAGAAGUAUUUAAAAAUGAUUGGAAGCAACCAAUCUACAAUAAAUCAAAGUUUAGAAGUUUGCAAUGAUGACAUUGACGAUGUUCUAAACGAGUUGGCAACCAAUAAAGAGUGAUAUUACAUAAAAUCCUUUUUCUGUAACGAGUUGACGGCAACACUGGACCACACCAUACCAUAACGUUGGCACUCAUCCCGCACCAUCAUAAAACCAAUCUUCACAUUGGAGCUAGAGCUAUUAGCAUAAAUUCGUUUACAAUAAUGUCCGAUUUGUGGACUCAGAACUGUGUCAACGGUUGUUUUCAAUUACAUUGAAUGCUCCAGAACCAGGCCCACUUUGAUUGAACCAGCCUUCCGAAAGAACGUCUUCUAAAUUCUGCGUUUCCAAUGAGCGGAGUGGAUUACUGCGGACCCUUUCAAAUGAUACUUUAGCGAUUUCAUCUGCUUUGCUAGCAAGGCGGUUCAUCUUGAGUUGGUGAAGGAUUUAACAACUGCCGCUUUCUAAGAGCGCUAAAAUGAUUUAAAAUGAUAUUCGUAGGAGGCUCAAUCAGAUUUGGUCCGAUAAUGCAACAAAUUGCCAUGCCAAGAAACUUCUGCGGCAAUGAUUAAUAGUCGCCUGUUUCUCUCAAUUUCAGAGAAUCCUGACGAUUUGGACUGCUGACUUCCGCUCAUCUACUGUUUGGUGGUCCUCCAACCGUGAUUCUCGAGCCCGACCUAACUAUGCUGGACUACAAUAUCGAUGCCCUUUUAUUAAUACCAGAACUAGACGUAAUGGUCCUGUAUUGGCCAGCAAGAAACUUACAAGGCUGCUCACCAUAAAGUAACCUAAUACCAAAUAUUCCGUAGCUGCAUGAACACGAGCCGCUGACCGCACAAUCAGUUAGUGAUUCAAUUUGAAAUCAUUGUGCAACUUCGCGAGCGACUUAUGCCUGGCUUCCAGUUGUGUCUCAUUCUUAGCAAUCAUUUUAAUUAGAUUUGUCACCAUUCUAAGCUACAUACAUAUGUCAAACUGUACUCACUCAAACUACCAAUGCACUCUGCUGAAGAGCCUUCAAAUCUCGUACUCGCAUGUAGACGUGCUUCUAGACCGAUUGACAGAAUAUCCUUAUUAAUUCGACUGCGCCGACCGACGGAGCUCCAAACUGCCCGAUAUAUGAUACGGCCUUUGAUGAUUCACCAACCGAGGCGCCUACUUAUACUGUCUAAAUGUAUCUGACAACUUGAAUUCAUAAACACGAAAUAUCCUGACUUUUAAUAUAUAAUAUUUAAUUUAUUUUAGUAAUUGUGUAGAGAAGGUGCUUGUUAAAAGUUUGGCUGAAUUUUGAAGACUGCCCUUCAGAAAAAAUAGAGAAGAACAAACUAACAGUGUUACUUGCUCUUACAUUCUCUAGAUGGAGAGGGAGAGAACGAUCAAGCGCCGUUAAAGCAAUCGCUGCAGCUGAUUAACCAAAGCCUCUCUUGUUUUCUCUUAGUCGCUAGAGCGAUGGUACCCAAACACCACAACAUGUUGGGCUUGCAGACUACCACCAAAGCUAUCGCAGUGCU